Molecule: small RNA, 268 nt
Filed under: Gopherus agassizii (Agassiz's desert tortoise)
Lineage: Eukaryota; Metazoa; Chordata; Testudines; Testudinidae
Description: Metazoan signal recognition particle RNA (ENSGAGG00000005233.1)
Rfam family: Metazoan signal recognition particle RNA
About the family: The signal recognition particle (SRP) is a universally conserved ribonucleoprotein.
Source: RNAcentral
AUCGCUUGAGCUCGGGAGUUCUGGGCUGCAGCGGGCUGUGCCGAUCGAGUGUCCGCACGAAGUUCGGCAUCAAUAUGGUGAANGUGUCCGCAUUAAGAUCGGCACCAAUAUGGUGAUCCCGGGGGAGCUUGUGGUCCCCAGGUUGCCUAAGGAGGGGUGAACCGGCCCAGGUCGGAAACGGAGCAGGUCAAAACUCCCGUGCCGAUCAGUAGUGGGAUCGCGCCUGUGAAUAGCCCCUGCAGCGUAGCCUGGGCAAGACAGUGAGACA